GACGAACGCUGGCGGCGUGCUUAACACAUGCAAGUCGAACGGAAAGGCCCUGCUUUUGUGGGGUGCUCGAGUGGCGAACGGGUGAGUAACACGUGAGUAACCUGCCCUUGACUUUGGGAUAACUUCAGGAAACUGGGGCUAAUACCGGAUAGGAGCUCCUGCUGCAUGGUGGGGGUUGGAAAGUUUCGGCGGUUGGGGAUGGACUCGCGGCUUAUCAGCUUGUUGGUGGGGUAGUGGCUUACCAAGGCUUUGACGGGUAGCCGGCCUGAGAGGGUGACCGGCCACAUUGGGACUGGGAUACGGCCCAGACUCCUACGGGAGGGAACGGUGGGGAAUAUUGCACAAUGGGCGGGAGCCUGGUGCAGCAACGCCGCGUGCGGGGAGACGGCCUUCGGGUUGUAAACCGCUUUCGCCUGUGACGGAGCGUGAAUGACGGUAAAGGGUAAAGAAGCACCGGCUAACUACGUG
Molecule: ribosomal RNA, 468 nt
Filed under: uncultured bacterium
Lineage: Bacteria
Description: partial 16S ribosomal RNA
Rfam family: Bacterial small subunit ribosomal RNA
Source: RNAcentral